This 550-nucleotide ribosomal RNA is filed under the name uncultured Pantoea sp. RNAcentral's name for it is "bacterial SSU rRNA". It matches the Rfam family "Bacterial small subunit ribosomal RNA", at positions 771 to 1322 of the family's 1533-position model. The record is from RNAcentral. Lineage: Bacteria; Pseudomonadati; Pseudomonadota; Gammaproteobacteria; Enterobacterales; Erwiniaceae.
AACCGGAUUAGAUACCCUGGUAGUCCACGCCGUAAAGAUGUCGACUUGGAGGUUGUUCCCUUGAGGAGUGGCUUCCGGAGCUAACGCGUUAAGUCGACCGCCUGGGGAGUACGGCCGCAAGGUUAAAACUCAAAUGAAUUGACGGGGGCCCGCACAAGCGGUGGAGCAUGUGGUUUAAUUCGAUGCAACGCGAAGAACCUUACCUACUCUUGACAUCCACGGAAUUUGGCAGAGAUGCCUUAGUGCCUUCGGGAACCGUGAGACAGGUGCUGCAUGGCUGUCGUCAGCUCGCGUUGUGAAAUGUUGGGUUAAGUCCCGCAACGAGCGCAACCCUUAUCCUUUGUUGCCAGCGAUUCGGUCGGGAACUCAAAGGAGACUGCCGGUGAUAAACCGGAGGAAGGUGGGGAUGACGUCAAGUCAUCAUGGCCCUUACGAGUAGGGCUACACACGUGCUACAAUGGCGCAUACAAAGAGAAGCGACCUCGCGAGAGCAAGCGGACCUCACAAAGUGCGUCGUAGUCCGGAUCGGAGUCUGCAACUCGACUCCGUG